GCAAAUCCAUUUUUUAUUAGGCGAAAAUAAAACUCACAAGUGACAUCAACUGAAAAAUGUUCUUUGAGAGCAAGUUAUUCCCAUUUAAAGCUAAGCACAUGAUAGCUGGUGACUUUUAAUGGAAAGUAAAAUUUGUUGGUCUGAAUUACUAUCAAACCACUUGAGAAUUUGUUUUUAAUUUUUCUUUUUGGAGAAAGGCAGUGGUUUGGCGUCCAGAAGAGCAGAGGAGGAAUGGAAAGGUCUAGUCUUGUCUCUAAUUGUGGCCUUAAAAGACCCUGGACAAUCUUUGGCAAAAUCAUGGUACAACAUCUCUAGGUACAUUAAUUUCCUUCACCUUUUACUUAAAGCUCAUUUAAGAAGCUGGUUAGAAACAAACCUCUCUGUUCUAGAAUUCAUUUGGGCUCUGUACCAAAACAAUUGUAUGCAUCCCAAAACCCGUCUACCAUUUCCCCAUUUAAUGGAAAAUAUCUGAUACAAAAGAACCCAGUGGUAUC
This 494-nucleotide long non-coding RNA is filed under the name Bos taurus (domestic cattle). RNAcentral describes it as "long non-coding RNA NONBTAT008074". Lineage: Eukaryota; Metazoa; Chordata; Mammalia; Artiodactyla; Bovidae. The record is from RNAcentral.